Molecule: ribosomal RNA, 448 nt
Filed under: uncultured bacterium
Lineage: Bacteria
Description: SSU rRNA
Rfam family: Bacterial small subunit ribosomal RNA
Source: RNAcentral
AGAGCGAACGCUGGCGGCAGGCCUAACACAUGCAAGUCGAGCGGCCGUAGCAAUACGGUAGCGGCAGACGGGAUAGUAACACGUGGGAACGCGCCCUUCGGUUCGGAAUAACUCAGGGAAACUUGAGCUAAUACCGGAUACGCCCUUACGGGGAAAGAUUUAUUGCCGAAGGAACGGCCCGCGUCCGAUUAGCUAGUUGGUGAGGUAAUGGCUCACCAAGGCUCCGAUCGGUAGCUGGUCUGAGAGGAUGACCAGCAUCACUGGGACUGGGACACGGCCCAGACUCCUACGGGAGGCAGCAGUGGGGAAUAUUGGACAAUGGGCGCAAGCCUGAUCCAGCCAUGCCGCGUGGAUGAUGAAGGCCUUAGGGUUGUAAAGUCCUUUUAACGGGGAAGAUAAUGACGGUACCCGUAGAAUAAGCCCCGGCUAACUUCGUGCCAGCAGCCGC